RNAcentral lists this ribosomal RNA (497 nucleotides) under uncultured bacterium. RNAcentral describes it as "partial 16S ribosomal RNA". It matches the Rfam family "Bacterial small subunit ribosomal RNA", at positions 28 to 507 of the family's 1533-position model. The record is from RNAcentral.
GAUGAACGCUGGCGGCGUGCCUAAUACAUGCAAGUCGAGCGAACAGACGAGGAGCUUGCUCCUCUGACGUUAGCGGCGGACGGGUGAGUAACACGUGGAUAACCUACCUAUAAGACUGGGAUAACUUCGGGAAACCGGAGCUAAUACCGGAUAAUAUAUUGAACCGCAUGGUUCAAUAGUGAAAGACGGUUUUGCUGUCACUUAUAGAUGGAUCCGCGCCGCAUUAGCUAGUUGGUAAGGUAACGGCUUACCAAGGCAACGAUGCGUAGCCGACCUGAGAGGGGGAUCGGCCACACUGGAACUGAGACACGGUCCAGACUCCUACGGGAGGCAGCAGUAGGGAAUCUUCCGCAAUGGGCGAAAGCCUGACGGAGCAACGCCGCGUGAGUGAUGAAGGUCUUCGGAUCGUAAAACUCUGUUAUUAGGGAAGAACAAAUGUGUAAGUAACUAUGCACGUCUUGACGGUACCUAAUCAGAAAGCCACGGCUAACUAUGUG